RNAcentral lists this ribosomal RNA (931 nucleotides) under Proteus mirabilis. Its description in RNAcentral is "partial 23S ribosomal RNA". It matches the Rfam family "Bacterial large subunit ribosomal RNA", at positions 643 to 1577 of the family's 2925-position model. Lineage: Bacteria; Pseudomonadati; Pseudomonadota; Gammaproteobacteria; Enterobacterales; Morganellaceae. The record is from RNAcentral.
AGGUUAACCGUAUAGGGGAGCCGUAGGGAAACCGAGUCUUAACUGGGCGAAUGAGUUGCAGGGUAUAGACCCGAAACCCGGUGAUCUAUCCAUGGGCAGGUUGAAGGUUGGGUAACACUAACUGGAGGACCGAACCGACUAAUGUUGAAAAAUUAGCGGAUGACUUGUGGAUGGGGGUGAAAGGCCAAUCAAACCGGGAGAUAGCUGGUUCUCCCCGAAAGCUAUUUAGGUAGCGCCUCGUGAAUUCAUCUUCGGGGGUAGAGCACUGUUUCGACUAGGGGGUCAUCCCGACUUACCAACUCGAUGCAAACUGCGAAUACCGAAGAAUGUUAUCACGGGAGACACACGGCGGGUGCUAACGUCCGUCGUGAAGAGGGAAACAACCCAGACCGCCAGCUAAGGUCCCAAAGUCAUGGUUAAGUGGGAAACGAAGUGGGAAGGCUCAGACAGCCAGGAUGUUGGCUUAGAAGCAGCCAUCAUUUAAAGAAAGCGUAAUAGCUCACUGGUCGAGUCGGCCCGCGCGGAAGAUGUAACGGGGCUAAACCAUGCACCGAAGCUGCGGCAGCGACACAAAGUGUUGUUGGGUAGGGGAGCGUUCUGUAAGCCUGCGAAGGUGUACUGUGAGGUAUGCUGGAGGUAUCAGAAGUGCGAAUGCUGACAUAAGUAACGAUAAUGCGGGUGAAAAACCCGCACGCCGGAAGACCAAGGGUUCCUGUCCAACGUUAAUCGGGGCAGGGUGAGUCGACCCCUAAGGCGAGGCUGAAAAGCGUAGUCGAUGGGAAACGGGUUAAUAUUCCCGUACUGGUGGUAACUGCGAUGGGGGAACGGAGAAGGCUAGGUUGUCCGGGCGACGGUCGUCCCGGUUCAAGCAGGUAGGCAGAGUGAUUAGGCAAAUCCGGUCACUUAAUGCUGAGAUGUGAUGACGAACCAC